UACAGAGGUCCCGAGCGUUGUUCGGAUUCACUGGGCGUAAAGGGUGCGUAGGUGGUGAGGUAAGUCGGAUGUGAAAUCUCCGAGCUCAACUCGGAAAUGGCAUUGGAAACUACCUUGCCCGAGGGUUGGAGGGGGGACUGGAAUACUUGGUGUAGCAGUGAAAUGCGUAGAUAUCAAGUGGAACACCAGUGGCGAAGGCGAGUCCCUGGACAACUCCUGACACUGAGGCACGAAAGCUAGGGGAGCAAACAGG
Molecule: ribosomal RNA, 253 nt
Filed under: uncultured bacterium
Lineage: Bacteria
Description: partial 16S ribosomal RNA
Rfam family: Bacterial small subunit ribosomal RNA
Source: RNAcentral